UACAGAGGUCCCGAGCGUUGUUCGGAAUUACUGGGCGUAAAGGGCUCGUAGGCGGCCAACUAAGUCAGACGUGAAAUCCCUCGGCUUAACCGGGGAACUGCAUCUGAUACUGGAUGGCUUGAGAUUGGGAGAGGGAUGCGGAAUUCCAGGUGUAGCGGUGAAAUGCGUAGAUAUCUGGAGGAACACCGGUGGCGAAGGCGGCAUCCUGGACCGACACUGACACUGAGGAGCGAAAGCCAGGGGAGCAAACGGG
Molecule: ribosomal RNA, 253 nt
Filed under: uncultured bacterium
Lineage: Bacteria
Description: partial 16S ribosomal RNA
Rfam family: Bacterial small subunit ribosomal RNA
Source: RNAcentral